CCUACGGGAGGCAGCAGUGGGGAAUAUUGCACAAUGGGGGAAACCCUGAUGCAGCGACGCCGCGUGAGUGAAGAAGUAUUUCGGUAUGUAAAGCUCUAUCAGCAGGGAAGAAAAUGACGGUACCUGAUUAAGAAGCCCCGGCUAACUACGUGCCAGCAGCCGCGGUAAUACGUAGGGGGCAAGCGUUAUCCGGAUUUACUGGGUGUAAAGGGAGCGUAGACGGCAGCACAAGUCUGGAGUGAAAUGCCUGGGCUUAACCCCGGAACUGCUUUGGAAACUGUGCAGCUAGAGUGCAGGAGAGGUAAGUGGAAUGCCUAGUGUAGCGGUGAAAUGCGUAGAUAUUAGGAGGAACACCAGUGGCGAAGGCGGCUUACUGGACUGUAACUGACGUUGAGGCUCGAAAGCGUGGGGAGCAAACAGGAUUAGAUACCCUAGUAGUC
Molecule: ribosomal RNA, 440 nt
Filed under: uncultured bacterium
Lineage: Bacteria
Description: partial 16S ribosomal RNA
Rfam family: Bacterial small subunit ribosomal RNA
Source: RNAcentral